AAACGGUCUCUCUAUAGACAUGAUACAUGACAGAGCACAAUGGCGUCGUUUGAUUCAUGUAGCCGACCCCACUUAGUGGGACAAGGCUUUGUUGUUGUUGUUGUUGUUGGUUCUGUAUUCAGAUUCAGAUGAUUAUGCUUUUUGCAGUGUGCAUGACUUCGAGAAAAUAUAUAAGUUCAUGAAUCAGCUUCUGAGAAAUAUUUCUUAAGCUUAGAGGAACUUGUUUCAAUUUUUACCAAAUUUUUCUUUUCCCUUUCCUUCACGUGUAGUAGAUUUAAUGGUAUCAAUUAUAUUAUAAUUAUAUAUCAUAAUCCCUGUUUUGGAAUUGGAUCAUGAUUGCAUUUGAUAUAUCAUAUAAGUAGCCAAGUUAAUGUAUGACAGCAUAGUUAGUAUAUAGUGAUAUGGUGUUAGAGAUGAACUUAUCAACAAUAUAACAAGCAAUGGUGAAACUUGUUAGUGUUACAUACUGUAAUCUUGCUAGUACAUAGUGCUUGAAUUUUCACCCUAUUGUAGUUUUUUAUGGUUACAUGGUUAUUGUUUGAAUCUAUGUGCAGAUUAUUAUCAAUGGACUGAAUUGCACUUAAUAAGUUGGAUAUUAUUCCUUUUCAUAUUGCAGUCUUUCUUUUUAUUUUUUCCGCCCGAAAUAGUGCAGUUUUGAUGUUGGGAAAUUUGAAGACUUUGCUUGAAAUAAGUGUAGAAUUUUGGCUGAGUCGAGCUCCAGAGUGUCUUUAUGUUGGUGCAGUCAUGCACCCACAGACGAACUGAGGUAUCUGAAUUGUCCUUGUGCCAUUUAGGACUGCAGAGAUGUAUGAAAUGGCAUGCUUAGCUUUUAUGAUCUGUAGCAUUUAUUUGGAUAUUUGAAUGGUUCAAUUCUGAUAUGUUGUAUAAUGAGAUGAAAAGGGCCUUCCGACAAUCUGCUUUUAUCCUGAUGAGGGAGUUAUCAUGGCGUUUCUUUGGCCACAAAAUCGACUGGCAAAGAUUGUUUCUUCUGGCGGCUGUUUUGACUGUAUCUAGUAUUUUGUUUCAGAUGCUUGUACAUAGAUAUUUACUAAAUGAUCAGUCUCCUUAUGAAAAUGAUUCAUCACACCCAUCCUUGAAUAGCAGCACCACCAAAGAGGCAAUACUUCAGCAGUUCAAUCUCUAGGAGUAAAAGGGAGGACAAGCUUGCUGACGCAAUAAAAAAUACAAGAUUUUCACCCCUUCUUAGUGUUCCUUCUUAUAAGUAGGUAGAAAUUGGUGAGACCUUGAACCUACCACUUUUUUUUUUUAUAUAAAUUCACCAAUAAGUUGAUACAUAUAUAUUUCUCAGAGACACAUACAGUUGUUGCCACCUCAUGAGGCCUUUGUGUAUGCAAAGAAAGAGAUUGAUAAUGCCCCUUUGGUUAAUGAAGAUCCUGAUCUCUAUGUCUCUUUAGGGUGAAGAUGUAGUUUCGCAAAUGAAGAUGUAGUUUCUUGUAUAGUAAAGAACAUAUAUGAAGUUGAAUCGUAUAUAAUAUGUAUAUUUAGUGUCCAUAAAUCAAGAUUUGUUUUCAAUAUGUUAGAAAACAUUGCUUGUGAGCCGUAUAUAUGCCUUGUCCUUUAUACAUAUAUAAUAUGUGAGCCAUAUAUCUAUGUUACUUGUGAUAUUAUUUAUUUUAUGGAUUCAGAGACAUUACUUGUGAUAUUGUUCAUAUGAAGUUAAUAGUCAAAAAUCAAUAGAUGGUUUGACUAAAUCAUUUUCUAAUGUUGUAUGUGAAUUUUCACCAUGCCCUAAUCUCUCAAGUAUGCUACUAGUGUCUAUAUGUUGGAAUGUUGGACAACUUAAAACAAUAAAUUUAGUUAUGAUCAAGAUGUUUUACCUUGUUGCCUUGGACACUAAAAUUCUCACUGUUUCACCUAAUAAUGAAUUGAAUCCAUACCAUCUUAAAAUUAUAAUAAAGUUUGAUUUUUACCUGUUAAUUGAGUAAUUGGCAUGCCAAAUUUUAAAUAUCAUUGCACCUUAUAAUUAAAGUGACGCCGGGACGUUGACAAUCCCACUAUGGUGACAUAGUUUAGAUUCACCAAUCUUGGCGAGGUUAACAACCCCACUAUGGUGACAUAGUUUAGACCAAGGUUGCGAGAACCGGACCGGUCAUCGAACCGGUCAAGUGACUGGUUCAAUGGUUCAAUGGUUGAACCGGGGUUGAACCGGUUUAAUUAAAUAUAUAAUAAAAUUAUAAAAAAAAUCAAAACAUAAUUUUAAAAAGUUAAAUGCAAUAAUUUUUAAACUAAUAAGAUUCAAAAUUUAAUAAUUUCACAAAAUAAACAAUACAUAAUUCAUCAUUAAAAGGUCAAAGACAACUUCAAAUGUCAAAGUUUAUAACUAAAGAAAUUAAAACGCACAUAAAUGACAAACAUAAUGCCAGCAACAUACAAUUUAUUCACUUUAUUCAACCAAGAACAGAAUUUAAUCAACCAAGAACACAGAACUUAAUCAAUUUAUUCAACAUACAACAGCCUUAAUAAUUUGAAGCACAGAACAAAAAAAACCAACAAAAUUUAAUAACAGAGCAGAGUUCAUUAUUAACAGAGCAUAGUUCAUUAUCCACCCUAACAACCGAAAUUAACAAUCAAAAAUUAACAGAACAGAAAUCAUUAUCAACCAAGAAGUCAAGAACACAGAACUUAAUCAAAUUAUCCAACAUACAACAGCCUUAAUAAUUUGAAGCAUAAAACAAAA
Molecule: non-coding RNA, 2698 nt
Organism: Arachis ipaensis
Lineage: Eukaryota; Viridiplantae; Streptophyta; Magnoliopsida; Fabales; Fabaceae
Source: RefSeq, a predicted model, not a curated record